CCUACGGGAUGCAGCCGUGGGGAAUAUUGGGCAAUGGGCGCAAGCCUGACCCAGCAACGCCUCGUGAAGGAAGAAGGCUUUCGGUUUGUAAACUUCUUUUGUCAGGGACGAAGCAAGUGACGGUACCUGACGCAUAAGCCACGGCUAACUACGUGCCAGCAGCCGCGGUAAUACGUAGGUGGCAAGCGUUAUCCGGAUUUACUGGGUGUAAAGGGCGUGUAGGCGGGACUGCAAGUCAGAUGUGAAAACCACGGGCGCAACCUGUGGCCUGCAUUUGAAACUGUAGUUCUUGAGUACUGGAGAGGCAGACGGAAUUCCUAGUGUAGCGGUGAAAUGCGUAGAUAUUAGGAGGAACACCAGUGGCGAAGGCGGUCUGCUGGACAGCAACUGACGCUGAGGCGCGAAAGCGUGGGGAGCAAACAGGAUUAGAUACCCCAGUAGUC
This 443-nucleotide ribosomal RNA is filed under the name uncultured bacterium. Its description in RNAcentral is "partial 16S ribosomal RNA". It matches the Rfam family "Bacterial small subunit ribosomal RNA", at positions 338 to 795 of the family's 1533-position model. The record is from RNAcentral.